CCCUUAGAUGUUCUGGGCCGCACGCGCGCUACACUGAAUGCUACCACACGACGAUACACCCUUGUCCGAUACGGUCAGGGAAAUCGUUUAAAAUGCAUUCUACGUGAUGGGAAUGGAGUAUUGUAAUUUGUACUCCUGAACGAGGAAUUCCUAGUAAUCGCAAGUCAACAGCUUGCGUUGAUUACGUCCCUGCCCUUUGUACACACCGCCCGUCGCUACUACUGAUUGGAUGUUUAAGCGAGGUUCUCGAACUGCUAGCGACUUAGCUUCGGUGAGGUCGCAGUGUGGGAAGUGAACCUAGCUUUGGUGUCUAGAGGAAGUAAAAGUCGUAACA
Molecule: ribosomal RNA, 334 nt
Filed under: uncultured eukaryote
Lineage: Eukaryota
Description: partial 18S ribosomal RNA
Rfam family: Eukaryotic small subunit ribosomal RNA
Source: RNAcentral